AUUGAUUAUUAUUGGAUGAUUAUGUUUUGUGUAAACUAGAAUAUAAGUUUUUUUUUUAAAUAAUAUAAUGAAAGUUUUCCAAAACAAUCUUAAUAUUUGAAAGUUGAUGUCAAGUUGAAAGUUGCAAAAGAAACAACCCUUGUGGUUUGCGGCUAUAAAGUUAAAAAGAAAUAUUUUCAUUGUAAACAUCUGGAAUGUGGGAAAUAAGCUAGAAAUUUAAAUUUGUCAAUGAAUUUGAAUCUUAGUGGUGUUAUAAAGGAGCCAACAUCCAAAAAAGUUGAACUCGAUUAACUUAUAGAUGUCAUCAUAUGUUUAUUCUAACAAAGAUCAUUACAACAAGCUUUUACUCAAAAUAAAUAAAAAACUUCCUGUCGAAUCUGCUUUAGAGAUGUCAUAAAAAAUAUCAAUAAAAAUCAAAAUUCUCAUAGAGUAAUUAGCUUUUUCCAUUCAAUAAAUGCUCUAGUGCGUCCAAAAGGUACGUUUUUAGUGUAAAAAAUUGUAUUUGUCAAAAAUUAUUGUAUAUAAAAUCAAAUAGAAUAUUGUUGUCUACUUUGUUACUCCAAAAUACAACCAAAAUUUAAAUUCUUAUUCUAUUAAUAUCGGUAGCCUAUUUUGUACACACUAAAAAAAAGAUUCUACCUUAUAUAAGAAUACGUGAUAUACCCUCAG
Hydra vulgaris (swiftwater hydra) is the source of this 669-nucleotide long non-coding RNA. RefSeq lists it as uncharacterized. NCBI's taxonomy places the organism in Eukaryota, Metazoa, Cnidaria, Hydrozoa, Anthoathecata, Hydridae. The record is from RefSeq and is a predicted model, not a curated record.